GGAGGUGGAUGAGUCCCGGUGGGCUCCCCGGUCCUCAAAACCGGUGGCGCGCCGCUGCGAGCGGGGCGCGGUGGGUUCGACUCCCACGCACUUCC
RNAcentral lists this transfer RNA (95 nucleotides) under Limnochorda pilosa. Its description in RNAcentral is "Selenocysteine transfer RNA". It matches the Rfam family "Selenocysteine transfer RNA". Lineage: Bacteria; Bacillati; Bacillota; Limnochordia; Limnochordales; Limnochordaceae. The record is from Rfam by way of RNAcentral.